This 79-nucleotide transfer RNA is filed under the name Thermothielavioides terrestris NRRL 8126. RNAcentral's name for it is "Thielavia terrestris NRRL 8126 tRNA". It matches the Rfam family "tRNA". From Rfam's summary of the family: Transfer RNA (tRNA) molecules are approximately 80 nucleotides in length. Their secondary structure includes four short double-helical elements and three loops (D, anti-codon, and T loops). Further hydrogen bonds mediate the characteristic L-shaped molecular structure. tRNAs have two regions of fundamental functional importance: the anti-codon, which is responsible for specific mRNA codon recognition, and the 3' end, to which the tRNAs corresponding amino acid is attached (by aminoacyl-tRNA synthetases). tRNAs cope with the degeneracy of the genetic code in two manners: having more than one tRNA (with a specific anti-codon) for a particular amino acid; and 'wobble' base-pairing, i.e. permitting non-standard base-pairing at the 3rd anti-codon position. The record is from Rfam by way of RNAcentral. Lineage: Eukaryota; Fungi; Ascomycota; Sordariomycetes; Sordariales; Chaetomiaceae.
UCUUCCGUAGUAUAGUGGUCAGUAUGUGAGCUUGUCAUAGACAUCGCUCGAGACCCGGGUUCAAUUCCCGGCGGGAGAG